Molecule: ribosomal RNA, 301 nt
Filed under: uncultured bacterium
Lineage: Bacteria
Description: partial 16S ribosomal RNA
Rfam family: Bacterial small subunit ribosomal RNA
Source: RNAcentral
CAGUAGCCGCGGUAAAACGAAGGGUGCAAGCGUUACUCGGAAUUACUGGGCGUAAAGCGUGCGUAGGUGGUUGUUUAAGUCUGCUGUGAAAGCCCUGGGCUCAACCUGGGAAUUGCAGUGGACACUGGGCGACUAGAGUAAGGUAGAGGAUAGUGGAAUUUCCGGUGUAGCAGUGAAAUGCGUAGAGAUCGGAAGGAACAUCUGUGGCGAAGGCGACUAUCUGGGCCAUUACUGACACUGAGGCACGAAAGCGUGGGGAGCAAACAGGAUUAGAUACCCCUGUAGUCCCUGUCUCUUAUAC